RNAcentral lists this ribosomal RNA (254 nucleotides) under uncultured bacterium. Its description in RNAcentral is "partial 16S ribosomal RNA". It matches the Rfam family "Bacterial small subunit ribosomal RNA", at positions 524 to 776 of the family's 1533-position model. The record is from RNAcentral.
UACGGGGGGGGCAAGCGUUGUUCGGAAUUACUGGGCGUAAAGGGCUCGUAGGCGGCCAACUAAGUCAGACGUGAAAUCCCUCGGCUUAACCGGGGAACUGCGUCUGAUACUGGAUGGCUUGAGUUUGGGAGAGGGAUGCGGAAUUCCAGGUGUAGCGGUGAAAUGCGUAGAUAUCUGGGGGAACAACGGUGGCGAAGGCGGCAUCCUGGACCAACACUGACGCUGAGUGAGCGAAAGCCAGGGGAGCAAACGGG